AUGACUCUCUUCACAUGCGCCAAAAAAAAGCGGUAGUUCCCAAGGUUCUGACAUGGAACUGUUCCGGGUUUCUAAAUAAAUAAGCUCCAGCUAGUCCCGACAACGGCUCAAAGCCUCCGAUCGAUCCUGGCUGUGUAUCGGCGAUUCUGUGCUCUCUGUUUCCUCUCCUUUCGGCAAUUCGAGAUGCCCCGAAGGGAAUCAAGGCCUUGAGCGGAGCAUGGCUCAUUCUCUGACAACCAAAAAAGCCCAGACUCUUUUAGCUGAAUGGGGGGAAAGAGAGAGGACGUCAUUAGUACUGUACCAACCACAUCAGGCCACGUCAAAUGGACGAGGAAUAAAAGCUGGCUGAAACGUUCAGUCUUGCUCUGCUGUGGCAAAAAACCGGAUGCCCAGGUGUAGGUGAAUAUCAUAUCCACGCGUUCCAUGGGGAGAAGCGCUUGCUGAUUCCAUUGCGUGGGUCGUGAUGUGUGAAACCUGUGCAGCAUUUCAAUGGGCGGUCCGAACGGUGGAAUCAGGCACGUAAACCUUCACGACUCAACAAAAACAAAUCUGUAACUUUAUAUCUUCUCAUGUUUAUAUUUAUCUCUGUUCUAGUUUCAUGGUCAAACGCUCAAAAUAUUCAUCCAGAGCAAGUUUUUUUCCCCCUUUCUUUUGACCCUUUCAGAUUGAACGAGUUUAUGUUUGUUUUAUUUCAGAAAGGGCGGCACAAUCGUGUCGCGUUGCAGGUGUUUUCCAUAGACGCACGUAUUCAACUAAUUCAGCUUUGGCGACUUUCUGAAGCCACCUGCCUGUGCCAUAUUUCAUAGUCACUAUUGGUUCCAUUGAUGUUGACAUUAUUGUUUCCCAAUUGCUUACUCCAUACAAUAUCUCAAACAUAACCAAUAUCAAUAUUCCGUCCAUUUCUCGAUGUUUUAAAUAGCUAACACAAACGGAGCGUCUUUCUCGAUGCUCAUAUGCCGUAAGUACCCGGCUUUACUAGUAACAAUCAUGGAUAUGCAGAUUAAGAAAAAUAAAACCACUCCGUCUUGAUGGAGAAUCCCUUGGGAAUUCGCGCCCUUCUGGGUGGUUUCCUCAACUUUUUGAGGCAAUCCUUAGUUUAAGGAGAGAUCACAACAAACCACGGAUAUGGACAAAAAACAUACAAGAAUUUUGCAAAAAAAAAGGCAAAGCCGGCUGGACACGAUAUCGCCGGUAGAUGACGAGAUCCUCCCUCCUGCUCCACCUUCCAACAUCCGAUUUUCCCGCCCGAUUUCACAUCCACAUUCGCCUCUGGAUUUUAUGCGAGAAAAUUUACCCGACUAGGCCGGCGCGAUGAAGGUUACCCACAUAGGAUCGAGAAAUCAUGGAAAUAUUCAAAUCAGGAUGAUCCAUCCCAGCCGACAAUGCCUGUGGUGCGUUCUAGGCGGUAUUUUUCGGUCUAUUACAGGCGGCGGUGUGAUCACUCCAAAUUGGACACCAGUGGGAUGGUUUUUUUUUUUUUUUUUUUCCCCACGACCCUAGAAUAAUAAUAAUUAUGAUGACAAAGGUAGACCGCUCACUACCAUCAACUUAGGGAACUAUUGACCAUGAUUCUAUAUCCUGGGGCUCCUCGCCUUUUUUUUCCAGGCGAAAAUCAUUCAAAGCUGUCGGCCAAUCUGGAUCACACUACAUCGGAUUGUGACUACCCUCCACUCCGUGUGCUUUCAGGCAGCUGAAUAUCUCCUUCAAGGAACCGGAUUAUUUAUACACUCGGGAGAGAUGGGAGAGGGCCUAGCUUGCCCACACAUGUAUUUCAAUUUCAAUGUCUCGCCAAGGGAAUGGACAGUGAAUUGUACAGUACGUGCUAUGUACGGAUCGUGGUAGGAUAUUGAAAUAAUAUGUGAAUUCAGGGGCGACGUACGAUUGUUCUAUAUAUAUAUAUAUAUAUACGCCGUUGCUCUGAAUUAGAUUGCGGCCAGUGGGGCGUUUUAGAUUGUUGCACCUUGCGAUACCCAGCAAUGGGGACUUGUCUCGAUCUUCCUGUUAGUUCAACGAGAGACACCCAUGGGAGGAGCGAACAGGGACAGACAGAUAGACAGACAGACAGACAGACACCCUUUUUUAUUUGCGAAAAUUCUCCAAUGUUCCUUGUCCAAUUGGGGAAUAAUCCUCAAGAUGCCACAGCGGACCGAUUGAAGGUUUUUUUCUCGCCGUGGGUGAUGUGCAGGGCAAACGUUACGCGGGCGUGGAGGCAAAUGUGGAAUAUAUAUAUAUUUUUAAAAACAAUUCGCUGGCCAUCCCGAUUACAGUGGAACUGUUCGUUUUAUUUACAUCUGCGAACAUAUCUAUUGCCGCAGCAAACGCUGACUAUAUACACCUAUGUUGUGUUGAUAUAUAAAUAAAUGCAUAUUAACAAAAAUGUAAAGCAUCUUACCCCACCUAACCCCUAACUUUACGAUUUAGCUGUUUCUGGAGGGCAACGGCAAGAUGCUGCCAGGGUUCCGCGAUUUCCCCCGUCCUCAUGCAGUUGAGAACGAUUAAAAGCUUGAUUGGAAGGAGGGACGUCGAGAGCGGGGUUCUUCUCGAAAAACCCAUCCGGUUUGAGCAUGAUGCUUAUCCUUUCGACAGGCAUGAUGGGGAAGUCCUCAGGACGUGGAUUGUGUGUAAGGCCGAAUGCUGCAGUUUAUAGUUAGCCACUACUCAUCCUCUCCUUUGGGCUCUGUUGAAAAGGGCCAUAAAAAGGGACUCGUGGGUUUUUUUUUUUUUUUUUUUUUUCCCCAAGACACCAAUGUUCAGCAAUGGGUUGGGAGUAACUCACUAUGCCAUAAUACGACAUCAGUGUUUUCAAUAUUAUCAUUCCUUCCCACCCAUUCUUCAACACCAGAGCUCUUCUUGCUUUGGUUUGUGAACUCGCCAGCAGCAUGGAGUUCUCCAUCUUGGUAUUUGGUCACCCAGAUCGGCUUGGUCGCGAACUGUGCACGCCUCCGAUUGAAACUGCGAGGACUCAUCAACAUCAUCUGGCUAGGCAGAGUCUGCAGCGUGUAAGCUACCGGCUUGCGCGAGAUUGUGUUGAUGACGCUAUCGUUGCGGAUCUUGAAGACCCGGUACUUCUCAACGUUAGUAUCGGCUGUCCCGGACCUUUUCAGCACAGUCGUUUCUGUUACAUAUCCAACGCCGUAUGGGUUGGCCACAGGGUCAUCUGGCAUUGGCACGCUGUCUUGAUAUAUCACGGUGUUAUUAUGUCCAUCAAUGGACGGGUCAACGCGCAUGGAGAAGAUAUGCUGAUGGAACGCCGCCAUGACGCCGGGUCCAACAUUGGUGCCCCACGGCACGGUGGCGCCGUCCUCAUUGUUAAUUGGCAUGGUGGAAAGAAUGCCGGUUGCGCGGACUUCCAGCUCGAUGCUUCCUGCUUGAUCGAAGAUCCAGGCGAAGAUAUAUUCGUAGUUGGAGACGGUGCAGAUAACCUGCACGACAAGCUGGCGCUUUCUAACAACGGUGGCUUCCGCGGUGCGAUAAUUGGUGUGUUUGUAUUGAAGCCCGGCGUCCUGUUCGUGCAUACAGAUUAUGUUCUCGAGGGUGACGGGGUUUCCUUUGGAGUCGGUUCGACAACCGUUGAAGUAUUUUAUGUGGCCUAGACAGUCGCAGCCUAGGGAGAGUGUGUUGGCUGUGAUUCCGAACCCGAUGUCACCGGCAUCGAAUGCUUGUUUGCGGUGGUAUGGAGCUCGAGGGUCUUGAAAGGCGUGAAAUUAGCAUGGUAAUAGUUUUUAUGGCUGAGGUUUUUUUUUUUUUGACAUACCGCCAUAUGGAACAGUCAUUUCGCAUACAGAAAGACGGUAAAAGACGCUGCGUUUAUCAUAUGUAACACCGUACAGGACCAGGCCAUCGCGGUAAUUGAAGCCAAUUCUGAAAUCCCACUUUUGCCAGUGGACAGCAUUGCCAUUGACAGAAAAAGAAGCGCCCUCUGGUUGCUGCACGAUGUAUGGUUUAAGAUCCGUUCUCAGCGGCUCAUCCAGCAGGUCGUGGGCAUAUUCAACCGCUUUGACCGGCUUCCACGGACUGGUUUCGGUGGUCGAAUGGUCCGUUCCGGUUGGGAGGUAGUCCAUGCGCACAAGUUCAUGGGUGAGACAAUCGAAAACUGGAGAAAAGGGGAGUGGCAGUGAAUAGUGAUUUGCCUGUGCGUGGUUUGUUUCCGCCAUGUACAUGUAGCACUGGAACAACCUUCUGGUCUCGUUUUCAUCGUCACAGCCGUAGAUCCAGGGAUCAUUGAGAACGGUGACGCC
RNAcentral lists this small RNA (4238 nucleotides) under Histoplasma capsulatum. RNAcentral's name for it is "hypothetical RNA". Lineage: Eukaryota; Fungi; Ascomycota; Eurotiomycetes; Onygenales; Ajellomycetaceae. The record is from RNAcentral.